Molecule: ribosomal RNA, 468 nt
Filed under: uncultured bacterium
Lineage: Bacteria
Description: partial 16S ribosomal RNA
Rfam family: Bacterial small subunit ribosomal RNA
Source: RNAcentral
GACGAACGCUGGCGGCGUGCUUAACACAUGCAAGUCGAACGGAAAGGCCCUGCUUUUGUGGGGUGCUCGAGUGGCGAACGGGUGAGUAACACGUGAGUAACCUGCCCUUGACUUUGGGAUAACUUCAGGAAACUGGGGCUAAUACCGGAUAGGAGCUCCUGCUGCAUGGUGGGGGUUGGAAAGUUUCGGCGGUUGGGGAUGGACUCGCGGCUUAUCAGCUUGUUGGUGGGGUAGUGGCGUACCAAGGCUUUGACGGGUAGCCGGCCUGAGAGGGUGACCGGCCACAAUGGGGCUGCGGGACGGCCCAGACUCCUACGGGGGGCAACAGGGGGGAAUAUUGCACAAAGGGCGGGAGCCUGAUGCAGCAACGCCGGGGUCGGGAAGGCCGGCUUUCGGGUGGAAACCGCUUUCGCCUGGGGCGAAGGGGUGGUGACGGGAAUUGGUCAAAAAGCAACGGCUAACUACGUG